GGAUGGUGAGACAAAAGCUAGAAGGAUGCAGUACUAGAGAUAGUCCUUUAGAGGGCAAUAAAGAACUGUAAUAGGUGGAAAGAAGAAUCCUGGAGUUCAAACGAACGAACGAGAUGUGGAUCGGUAGGAGUAAUAAUUUUUGAAUGUGUAAAUGCAAAGGAUAGCGAAUUAUGGAGUAGAGUUCCGCAAUUGUAUUCCAACGGGGUUGUAAAUGAAUAGAUAGAGUAUAGACAUUUAUUGUAUGGAUUGUACUUUGGAUAUUUUUGUAAAAUAAAUUAUUGGGCCUGACUCCACAAUUGUGAAUAGAAUGCGAGUUUUAAGUAA
Non-coding RNA from Jatropha curcas, 324 nucleotides. The record is from RefSeq and is a predicted model, not a curated record. Lineage: Eukaryota; Viridiplantae; Streptophyta; Magnoliopsida; Malpighiales; Euphorbiaceae.